Molecule: long non-coding RNA, 788 nt
Filed under: Homo sapiens (human)
Lineage: Eukaryota; Metazoa; Chordata; Mammalia; Primates; Hominidae
Description: long non-coding RNA NONHSAT205040.1
Source: RNAcentral
CUUGAGCGGCUGGUGAGGGAGAGUGGUUGGAACCUUCCCAUGUACAGCUCCUUAGCUGUUCCUUCUGAGAAUUCCAGCCAGCUUACCAAAACCUGAGGCAGAAAGUGGAUAAUUUUGUGUCAACACAUCUGGACAAGCAGGAAUGGAAUCCUACGAUGAACAAAAACCAGUUGCGAAAUGGUCUGAGGCAGAGUGUGGUUCAGUAAGUCAGGGAUGUUGGAAGCUGGAGUAGACAGGAUUAUUUCUCAGGUGGUGGAUCCAAAACUUAACCACAUCUUCAGGCCACAAAUAGAACGAGCAAUUCAUGAGUUCCUGGCGGCCCAGAAAAAAGCAGCUGUGCCAGCACCCCCUCCAGAGCCCGAAGGCCAGGACCCUCCAGCUCCAUCUCAGGACACUUCCUAAGAAUACGCCAGACACCUUUUGAAAGCUAAUUUUUGGUGAAGAAAUGGAUUCGGUUACAUAAGAGUGCAACUUCAGACUGAAGAUAGGCCAAGGUCGUCACUGAUCUCAAGAUUUCAACCUUGACCAUGGGCAGUGACCAGAUUGAAAGGGGAGCAAGUUCGGCAGUGGGAGAGUUGACCGUGUCACCCCCUGCAUUGUGCUGCCAUUUGGCCAGCCUGUCCAAGGGCAUGACACCAAGUAGACACUACAGAGAGAGAAACACUACAGCAACCCAGGGUUGUCCUGAAACAGACUUUUAUACUUGAACAUGGAGACUGCACAUGGACUUUAGGGUUUGUGCUGUGGGAUAAACGGAAGCUACAGUGAGAACAUAGCCAGUCCCAAAG